GCCUUGAUGGUUCAGAGAAAAACUCUAGGACAACUCAGAAGAUAGAUACAGAAAAACUCUUAAGAUGCAUCAAUUUGAGUGAAUUACCACAGGAAUUGCUUAUAUGCAAGUUUUCAGGUAAAAAGAACUGUUGUUUUUAGGGGCCUAGAAGUGGAAGAAUAAUUUUAAGGCUGGAAGCUACAACCUCAUUUCCAGAAGAAUCCCUGGGUCUCACGUGUACACCAUGGUCAAAGAAGACUGCAGGACACACAAAAAUCAUGAACAUCACAGCAAUUGUUCCUGUCCCACCUGCUACCAAUGCCUACCUCAUGAAGGCCUAAGAAUAAGUUCCAUGGUUGUAAGCAAGAAUAAUCAACUCUGAGAACCUAAGCAAAAGGAGACUCGAUAAAAAGGAUAUGAGAGCUCAUGGGACAAAAGAGAGAACUUGAAGCUGGAGCAGAUCCAAGAAUCUACAGUAGCAGAUACCAUUAGACAAUUUAGCCAGGAUGGUGA
Long non-coding RNA from Tupaia belangeri chinensis (Chinese tree shrew), 492 nucleotides. RefSeq lists it as uncharacterized. The record is from RefSeq and is a predicted model, not a curated record. The transcript has 3 exons. Lineage: Eukaryota; Metazoa; Chordata; Mammalia; Scandentia; Tupaiidae.